ACCUUUGUGGUGUAGUGGUCAGCACGCUCGACGUGUAACUGAGAGGUUUGUGGUUCGAUUCCCGGCGAAGGCG
Molecule: transfer RNA, 73 nt
Filed under: Stegodyphus mimosarum
Lineage: Eukaryota; Metazoa; Arthropoda; Arachnida; Araneae; Eresidae
Rfam family: tRNA
About the family: Transfer RNA (tRNA) molecules are approximately 80 nucleotides in length.
Source: Rfam by way of RNAcentral